UGUGUGGUGGUAAACGGAGNNNNNCUCGAAGUNNNNNNNNNGGACUCAGCCUUGGGUGUCUGGUAGUCUGUGCGUAGUUGAUCAGCAAUGACUCUGCGUGCUGUCUUGCCUGGCUCUCGGGUGCAUUUCCCCUGCAGUUUACGGCAGGAACUGUUCGAUGCAGAUCAAAGGCCUUGGGAGAAGUUGUCGCUUCGGUGGCAGCCCCGGGUGUCCUGGCUCUGCGCUUGACAGGUACGUGAGAGGACUCGUAUAGCGAGCAAUGCUCUGUUGCGGUUCUCAUCUCUCUGCCGAGUAGGUCGGCG
RNAcentral lists this ribosomal RNA (302 nucleotides) under Stephos longipes. RNAcentral describes it as "partial 28S ribosomal RNA". The record is from RNAcentral. Lineage: Eukaryota; Metazoa; Arthropoda; Copepoda; Calanoida; Stephidae.